AUGGCGUUUGUGGCCCGCGCGGCCAUCUUGGCCCGGGAUGCGGCGAUCGACCCCCGGUCCGUCGACGCCAAGAAGCUCUCCCUGAUCGCGGAUAUGGUGGGGCACGCCGCUGCGGCCGCGGGCUACGACGCCGAGCGAUUGAUGAAGGCGUCCUGUCAUCUGAUGGGAUGUGAACCCGAGAAGACGCCCGAUGCGGCAGACAAGAUUGGCAUCGCCGCCGGGAUGCUAGCCGGAGGAGCUCAACAGGAUCUCUUGGCGCAGGCCGCUCUGGAUUUGCAGCGAGCGGCGAGUCACUUCAGCCAAGCGGCAAUCAAGAAAUCCAACGCCGACAAAGUGGCCAACGCGGCCUCCCUGGUCCGGCAAGCUGCUUCUCGGUCGCCCCUCGACGCCACCUACCUCUCUUGGGUGGCGGAUAGGGUGGCCUACGCCUCCGCUAGAUACCUCAUUCGUCAGGAACCUGAAUCACUCCGGGAGGCUUCACAGUCCCUCGCCUCAUCCGAUCCUGAGAAGAGGCAGACGGCAGCCGACGCGGUCAGCGUCGCCGCCGCCCAUGUGGCUCAACGUGCCGAGGAGGCCAGCACUGACGCCGCCAUCGCGGACAAGGAAGCACUGGUUCUAUUAGCAGAGACAGCUCGCGAGCUAGAGCGCACGGUCAAGCAAUUCGGGGAGGCGGCGGCGAGGGAUUUGAAGGGGCGAGCUUGGAUGUUGCUGUUCGGGUGGCGCAACAAGGGGAAGGAGAAGGAGAACGAGGGCGGCGGCCUCAAUGAGCAUUUGCUCCCCGGUCCCUCAUCUUCCUCGUCCACAGGCACACCCGAACAACCUCAGCGGCAACACAAGGACCCCGACCUUGGAGACUAUUUGGGGUACCCACUAUUCGGCUCACUCACCCUACUGCCAUACUUGGGAGCUGAUGGACUGACAAAGGGCAUGUCACCCGACGAUAGAUGGUGGUUUCACGUUCUCUUCAGUUGCUUUUGGGGCAUGGUAGCUUUCGGUGCUCUGUGCAAGCAUAGCCAGUAUCGAGUCUUAAUCUGGUAUGCUUGGCUUGCUGACCGUAUUGGCAUGCUGGCCAUCACCGCCCUUGUGGUGUUCUACAGCUGCUUUAUUAUAGCACCAGAGGCCACUAGAACUGUCAAAUUCAUUUUGGGCGCUGCUGCUGCUAUACAUAUAGGGUCUUCCAUUUUGGAAGCAGUGAGUUUUUUGUUGCAAAGCAGGAGGCAGUGA
Molecule: ribosomal RNA, 1224 nt
Filed under: Triticum aestivum (bread wheat)
Lineage: Eukaryota; Viridiplantae; Streptophyta; Magnoliopsida; Poales; Poaceae
Description: partial small subunit ribosomal RNA
Source: RNAcentral